Molecule: ribosomal RNA, 460 nt
Filed under: uncultured bacterium
Lineage: Bacteria
Description: partial 16S ribosomal RNA
Rfam family: Bacterial small subunit ribosomal RNA
Source: RNAcentral
CCUACGGGUGGCAGCAGUGAGGAAUAUUGGUCAAUGGGCGGAAGCCUGAACCAGCCAAGUAGCGUGCAGGAUGACGGCCCUACGGGUUGUAAACUGCUUUUAUACGGGAAUAACGCGCCUUACGUGUAGGGCUUUGCAUGUACCGAAUGAAUAAGGACCGGCUAAUUCCGUGCCAGCAGCCGCGGUAAUACGGAAGGUCCGGGCGUUAUCCGGGUUUAAUGGGUUUAAAGGGGGCGUAGGCCGCAUGUCAAGCGUGCUGUGAAAUGUCCGGGCUCAACCCGGGCCUUGCAGCGCGAACUGGCGUGCUUGAGUCCGCGGAAAGCAGGCGGAAUUCGUCGUGUAGCGGUGAAAUGCUUAGAUAUGACGAAGAACCCCGAUUGCGAAGGCAGCUUGCUGCAGCGGAACUGACGCUGAUGCUCGAAAGCGCGGGUAUCGAACAGGAUUAGAUACCCUUGUAGUC